GAAGCUAAGCAGCUAAAAUAAAGGAAAUAAAUACAAUCACAGCAGUAAGUUGUACGUGGCCCAAUAGGGACGAUAACCAAAAAGAAAAAAAAAUACAUAUAGUCAAUCAAUUAUAUUUAACCUUAAUGCAUUCAUGGUAUUUUUUGUUUAUAUCACAUUUAUUUUGAGUUGAAUAAACAAUCAGUAAGUCACAAGUACUGAAAAUGUAUCCAUGAAAAAUUGCAGUAAAAAAAAAAAAUAUUUUCGUUAUGAAUAAUUAAUAAAAAUAGAAGUUUCUAAUAACAUAUCAGGAGCAUCGAUUUAUGAAAUUAAUUAUUUAUUUAUCUUUGUGUAAUUAAGAAAGAGCCAACCGGUACACUGUUAAACAAAAAAUAGAUUCUUUCAAAGAAGUAUUUAGUUGAUACUAUACAGCAGACUACAUUCCAAAAAGUAAUGUAAUUGACACUCAGCAGUCUUAAGACGUGAUUAGUAGUCACAACAGAAUCAAGAUGAGUGCAUAAGCCAAAGAAAGCCAGAGGAAAGAAGUAAUUAGAAACAGAACUGAUGUCAUAAAAAUGAAGAUCAAUUAAAAAUUACCUUACAUGUUGAAUUAUUAGUUAUGGCUCUAAUUAUUGAUCACUAUUUCUGCAAUGAUAACAUAAAUCGAAUACAGUCAUUGUUAUUCAGAAGUACGACUAAAGUGUGAAAUAAAUAGAUUGAGAUAUACUUCAUUCAUUAUUUAAAAAAUAUUUUUUAUUUAAUAUUAAUACAACGAGUAAUAAUUUUCAGCUGUUCUACUUUUAACCAGUCAGGAUAACAUGAGUCUUAUACUUACUGUAGAUAAGUAAAAGUAUUUUCUGCUGUUUUCUUGUUACAUAAAUUAAUAAUAUAAUUUUCUUAUUACAAAAUAUUAAAAAUUUUAACAUUAAGGAAUUAUAAUAACAAUAAUUUGUUUUUAAUUUUACUUUCAGAUCGAUUAGCAAAAAUGACAUGGAGUUGACUAUAAUUGCAACGAACAAUAACUGAGUAUUAAAACUCAAGAACAGUUUUCUAGGAUAUUCGAUAUUAUGUUAUUGUCAAAUUGUAAGAGAUAAAAUUAUAUUAUUUUUAUUGUCAAAAGGGAGCGAAUCCAUCUCGAAGAUGAUAUAUAUAUAUAUAUAUAUAUAUAUGGUUCAUUCUGUGUCAAAUCGACAAAUGAUUGGAAUCGACCCCCUCGGAUUCGGAUAAAUUUUGAUGGAGAGUUUUGUCUCAUAAUAAAACGAAGUUCUGCUAGGGGAAAUAAUUAAAAAAAAUUUUUUUAAGAGUUCAAUAAUAAUGUGGUACAAUAAUUAUAUUCAAUAAAAAAGUUGAAAGAAUUAUUUGGCCAAAAUUAAAAAAUUCAUAUUUAAAAAAAAAAAUAAACACCCUCCUGAAAAUUUCAGAAUUUCUUAAGAUAUGUUAGAGGUAUAAUAUAAAAAAUUUUGAGGCCAAAAUUUCACUGCGAACUUAACUUUUUACGAUUUUGAAAAAUUCAAAAUUUUCCGAUUGUGGUCAUUUUCAUAAUUUUUUUUCUUUAAAAUUUUUUUCUCAUACCUCCAAGUGUCCUCUUCCAACGCAUCGGCGGUUUUUUUUUAAUAUAUACAGUUGGUUAUGAAAUAUUAAAUAAAUAAACUCAAAAAACCAGAAAAACAGUGCAAUGUUCAAUUUUGCAAAACUCUUAAGAAAAAUUUUUUCAAAUCAUUUCCUCUGGCAGAACUUCGUUUUAUGAUGAGACAAAACUCUCCACCAAAAUUUAUUCAAAUCAGAGGGGGUCAAUUCCAACAACCAUUUGUUGAUUUGACAUGGAAUGACCAAUAUAUAAUUUUUUUCUUCUCGGAAACAGGUUCAAAAGUUUCAUUUGGGUAUAAUAAUACGCCUGUCAAAAUUCGAGCUCUUACUAUUAACAUUAAGAGGAGGUUCCGCAUUGCACUUUUCUAUUUUCCGUAUGAAUAAUAUGGGAAAUAGUAUAUUACACACCUAGGGAAGUAAAUAAGAAAGCCUCAGAUCACAUGUAAUUGUUGGCCGAGGCGAAGCCGAGGUCAAGAAACAUGUGAUCUGAGACAUUUCUUACUUUACUUCCCUAAGUGUGUAAUAUACUAUUCCCAUCUUCUGAUUUUCAUAACUUGAUAAUAGGGCUGUACAUCUAAACCAGCAUGACCGGUUAAAAAGUUAAGUAGCUUACUUAGCUGGCUAGCUCGUCAGCUUAGCUAAUUUAACCGGUCAACUUAAUUAGCUUGGCUAAGCAGCCAAAUGCUUCACCGGUUAAUGUAUUUCCAAUAGAUUUUCUAAGAUAACUCUUAGCUAAUAAGCCAUGGGAAUUUGAGUUAACCGGUGAAGCCUUUGGCUGCUUAACCAAGCUAAUGAAGUUAAUCUGUUAAAUUAGCUAAGCUGACGAGCGAGCCAGCUAAUUAGCCUACUUAACUUUUUUAAUCGGUUAUGCUGAUUUAGAUGUGCAGUCCUACUAGCUAACAAUUCGCCGUAGGAAAAAUCUGCAGACAUAAUUUUGUUGAGAAUUGAAUGCUCUACAAGAAACGUAAUCUAUCAUUUUUUUUUUAUAAAUCCAAUUAUUCGAAAGUUAUUUGAGCGUGAAGUCGAAUUUAAAUUAAAUUUUCAGAAUUUUGUCAUUUUUUUGGCGAAAGUAUCAGAUUUAUCACAAAAUAUCACGGCACAUUUUUUUUAGACAAUUCUAUGCCUUACAAAUUAAUUCCAAUAAAGUUUUUUCGAAUUCCGCAUUGUUUCCUAGUUAUUUUCGUUUUUAUGCCAAGCUUUUAAAAUCGAACAGAAGACUAUUUUUUUACGUGCUUGACAUUAAAAUAUAAAGAAGUAGAAAACAAUGCGGAAUCCGAAAAACUUCAUUAGAAAUAGUUCUUAGAGAAUAAAAUUGUCUACAAAGAAGGUUUCAUUAUAUUUUGUAAUAAGUCUGAUAGUUUCGCCGGAAAAGUUAAAACAUCUGAAAAUUUAAUAUAAAUUAGACUUCAAGCUUAAAUAACUUUAAAAGAAUGGAUGUAUCAAAAAGUGAUAAGAGACUUUUUUGGAGAGUGUUCAAUUCUAGCGUAUUUCACGCCAAAUCGAAUAAUUUAAGAAAUUAAAAUGUUAGACUUUGUGAAAUUUAUUUUAUGUUUUUGUAUCGUUAAAGGAAUGAUUUAAGUAAAUUUUUUUGAUAAUGUUGGGCAUU
This is a long non-coding RNA of Microplitis demolitor, 3172 nucleotides long. RefSeq lists it as uncharacterized. Lineage: Eukaryota; Metazoa; Arthropoda; Insecta; Hymenoptera; Braconidae. The transcript is spliced from 3 exons. The record is from RefSeq and is a predicted model, not a curated record.